RNAcentral lists this ribosomal RNA (528 nucleotides) under Triticum aestivum (bread wheat). Its description in RNAcentral is "partial small subunit ribosomal RNA". The record is from RNAcentral. Lineage: Eukaryota; Viridiplantae; Streptophyta; Magnoliopsida; Poales; Poaceae.
AUGGCUAGGGUGCGAGACCCUCUCGUCGUCGGAAAGGUCAUCGGGGAGGUCAUUGACAACUUCAACCCCACGGUGAAUAUGUCGGUGACCUACAGCUCCGACAAGCAGGUGUCCAACGGCCAGGAGUUCUUGCCGACGGCGGUCGUGUCCAAGCCACGCAUUCAGGUCCCGGGUGGCGACAUGAGAUCUUUCUUCACUCUGGUCAUGACGGACCCAGAUGUGCCAGGGCCUAGUGAUCCAUACCUGAGGGAGCAUCUCCACUGGAUCGUCACUGAUAUUCCUGGCACCACUGAUGCUUCUUUCGGGAGCGAGGUGGUGAGCUAUGAGAGCCCGAAGCCCACCAUCGGCAUUCACAGGUUCGUCUUCGAGCUGUUCAAACAGAAGAAGCGGCAGGCUGUGAACCCUCGAGCUCCUUCCACCAGGGACUGCUUCAACACUCGCCGCUUCGCCGACGAGAACGACCUCGGUCUCCCGGUCGCCGCCGUCUACUUCAACGCGCAGCGGGAGACAGCCGCGCGCCGCCGCUGA